This 253-nucleotide ribosomal RNA is filed under the name uncultured bacterium. Its description in RNAcentral is "partial 16S ribosomal RNA". It matches the Rfam family "Bacterial small subunit ribosomal RNA", at positions 524 to 776 of the family's 1533-position model. The record is from RNAcentral.
UACGUAGGUGGCAAGCGUUGUCCGGAUUUAUUGGGUUUAAAGGGUGCGUAGGCGGUCUAUUAAGUCAGUGCUGAAAUAUCCCGGCUUAACCGGGAGGGUGGCAUUGAUACUGAUGGACUUGAGUAGAGUCGAGGUAGGCGGAAUUGACGGUGUAGCGGUGAAAUGCUUAGAUAUCGUCAAGAACACCGACAGUGUAGACAGCUUACUAGGCUCAAACUGACGCUGAGGCACGAAAGUGUGGGGAUCAAACAGG